CAGGUCUGGUGCCCCGGGUUGCACU
Molecule: microRNA, 25 nt
Filed under: Monodelphis domestica (gray short-tailed opossum)
Lineage: Eukaryota; Metazoa; Chordata; Mammalia; Didelphimorphia; Didelphidae
Description: mdo-miR-12305-5p
Source: miRBase by way of RNAcentral